GAAAACUGUGGCGUGCGUUAUUGUUUAUGCUAUACAGCUUAAAGCUCUUGCUUUUACCUUUUUUAUUUUUCUGCACGAAUUUCGGCACAUGGUGUAGAAUAAUUAGGGAGUGGAGCUCAUUGCAGUAUAAUUUUGGGAUGGGUGUAAGCAGCAAGUGUAUGUAUUUACCUCGGAAGACGGGUGUUUUUUUUUCAUAUCCACUUGGGCAAGAUCUGGAGGAUUCAAUGAGGCUAAACAUUAUAGGAGUGUUAAGUGUGUGCGGGACAAGUCAUCCAUACCCUAGGUGUUAGCCUUACAGAUUCUUCAGCCAGAGUUUCUUUUGACAGAUAAAACACUAUGAUUUCUCUACGAGAAAUAGACAUAAAUUUGAUUCAAAUAUUCCAUUCAAUUUCUGAAGAGAUCAAGGAACUUCAAUAUGAUUUGUCAAUGAAGCCAUGGGAGAUGGAGGAAAUUGAAAAUGAUGGCUCUCUGUGUCUUUACGUUCAAGAAGUUACAAUAGAAGCAUCUGCAGAACCCCAGAUUUCCAACUCAGAUACUAGAGAUCUAUGGAGAGAAGUUUUUGAAAUUACUAUGUGACUACAUUGUGUUUUUCCACAGCAAUUUGUUUCCUUGCUAAACAUAUUCAAAUAAUGAGGUAUCUGUACCUAGACAGAUAUAGGUAUACAUAUACAGUAUAGUUCCUUUUUCAGGACUAUCAUUUCUCUGCAGUUUAGACAUAGUACAGCUUUGAUUAAUGAGCUAACUAACUGAGGCAAGUGUGUCAAUGAGGAGACUGUAAUGUUUUUAAGAUCAACUCACAGCAGGUCUGGCUUAGAGAUUUAACUUUUAUGGCUUGAAAUUAUCUACUGUAUCCAGUCCCUGAGUUGAUUUUGUUUGGUACAUAAUCUAUACCCAACUGCCUUAUUUUCAUGUAGUAAAACUUGAGUCUAUAUUAGAACACCAAACUUUCAAUACUUCAAGUGUUCUAAUAUUGAACCCUAGUCAACGAAAAUUUAAA
This is a long non-coding RNA of Protopterus annectens (West African lungfish), 997 nucleotides long. RefSeq lists it as uncharacterized. The record is from RefSeq and is a predicted model, not a curated record. Lineage: Eukaryota; Metazoa; Chordata; Ceratodontiformes; Protopteridae. The transcript is spliced from 3 exons.